GACGAACGCUGGCGGCGUGCUUAACACAUGCAAGUCGAACGGAAAGGCCCUGCUUUUGUGGGGUGCUCGAGUGGCGAACGGGUGAGUAACACGUGAGUAACCUGCCCUUGACUUUGGGAUAACUUCAGGAAACUGGGGCUAAUACCGGAUAGGAGCUCCUGCUGCAUGGUGGGGGUUGGAAAGUUUCGGCGGUUGGGGAUGGACUCGCGGCUUAUCAGCUUGUUGGUGGGGUAGUGGCUUACCAAGGCUUUGACGGGUAGCCGGCCUGAGAGGGUGACCGGCCACAUUGGGACUGAGAUACGGCCCAGACUCCUACGGGAGGCAGCAGUGGGGAAUAUUGCACAAUGGGCGGAAGCCUGAUGCAGCAACGCCGCGUGCGGGAUGACGGCCUUCGAGUUGUAAACCGCUUUCGCCUGUGACGAAGCGUGGGUGACGGUAAUGGGUAAAGAAGCACCGGCUAACUACGUG
RNAcentral lists this ribosomal RNA (468 nucleotides) under uncultured bacterium. RNAcentral's name for it is "partial 16S ribosomal RNA". It matches the Rfam family "Bacterial small subunit ribosomal RNA", at positions 28 to 507 of the family's 1533-position model. The record is from RNAcentral.